GGGGGCGUAAGGAUUCGACGGGGGUUGUGGAAGCAGGAAUAGCAGGCCCGGGACCAUGGCCCGGUAAAAACAUGGAACGGCAAUAAACGCCAACGACAAUCUCGCUUACGCUGCUUAAUUAAAGCAGCGCGUCCCCUUUCUCCUUGACCGGGGGAGAAAGCAGGGGCGACGACCAACCGGCCUACCGCUGCAGGCGGCCGCUCCACCGCAGCAGCGGGAAAUGCAACGGAGACGGCAGCGGCGGAUCCCGCUCCGGGGAGACGGCGCUGCGAGAUGAAAACCGGAGCUAAGCCUGUAGAGGUUCCUGUGGCCCGGCCUUCGGACGCGGGUUCGAUUCCCGCCGCCUCCACCA
This 352-nucleotide transfer-messenger RNA is filed under the name Bacillota bacterium. RNAcentral's name for it is "Firmicutes bacterium (anaerobic digester metagenome) transfer-messenger RNA". It matches the Rfam family "transfer-messenger RNA". Rfam says of the family: Bacterial tmRNA, also known as 10Sa RNA or SsrA, is named for its dual tRNA and mRNA-like properties. Its role is to liberate the mRNA from a stalled ribosome. The record is from RNAcentral. Lineage: Bacteria; Bacillati; Bacillota. RNAcentral also lists the same sequence under 2 other names.